Molecule: long non-coding RNA, 238 nt
Filed under: Eutrema salsugineum
Lineage: Eukaryota; Viridiplantae; Streptophyta; Magnoliopsida; Brassicales; Brassicaceae
Description: long non-coding RNA (ESAL_LNC001595)
Source: RNAcentral
GCGAGUUUGGGCCUAAGGAUCUUCGGGUUCCAACCCACCCCUUAGCAUCUUCUCCGUGAAUCCGUUUGGAGUCAAGGAUCUAUCCAUCCGAUACCGACCAAGUGUGUGCCGUUCUUUGGGAAUUCGUAUCAAGUGGUAUCAGAGCCACGCACUUGAAGAAAGCGGUAUUAUCUAUCUUUUUGUCUUUUCAAAUUCCGUCUUAUCCUUUCUUUCUUUUGUAAUUCCAGAUCUAUUUAAA